RNAcentral lists this ribosomal RNA (657 nucleotides) under uncultured bacterium. RNAcentral's name for it is "bacterial SSU rRNA". It matches the Rfam family "Bacterial small subunit ribosomal RNA", at positions 211 to 860 of the family's 1533-position model. The record is from RNAcentral.
UUUAUCGGUUACAGAUUGGCCUUGUGCCUUCCAUUAGUUAGUUGAUGAGUUUACGGGCUUCCCCAAGGCAAACGGAGGAUAGGGGGCCUGAGAGGUUUUAUCCCCCACACUGGUCAUGAGCCUCGGACCAGACUCAUACGGGAGGCAGCAGUGAGGAAAUAUUGGUCAAUGAGCGAAAGCUUGAACCAGCCAAGUCGCGUGAAGGAAGAAUGUCCUAAGGAUUGUAAACUUCUUUUAUACAGGAAUAAUAGUCGCCACGUGUGGCGACCUGCAUGUACUGUAUGAAUAAGGAUCGGCUAACUCCGUGCCAGCAGCCGCGGUAAUACGGAGGAUCCGAGCGUUAUCCGGAUUUAUUGGGUUUAAAGGGUGCGCAGGCGGGAGAUUAAGUCGGCGGUGAAAUUUUGCGGCUCAACCGUAAAAGUGCCUUCGAAACUGGUUUUCUUGAGUGUAGAUGAAGUAGGCGGAAUUUGUGGUGUAGCGGUGAAAUGCAUAGAUAUCACGAGGAACUCCGAUUGCGCAGGCAGCUUACUAAACUACAACUGACGCUCAUGCACGAAGGCGUGGGGAUCAAACAGGAUUAGAUACCCUGGUAGUCCACGCAGUAAACGAUGAUUACUAGUUGUUUGCGAUACACAGUAAGCGACUGAGCGAAAGCAU